GCUCGCGUGGCGGAAUGGCAGACGCAGCGGACUUAAAAUCCGCAGGGAAACCGUACCGGUUCAAGUCCGGUCGCGAGCACCA
Molecule: transfer RNA, 82 nt
Filed under: Clostridia bacterium
Lineage: Bacteria; Bacillati; Bacillota; Clostridia
Description: tRNA-Leu
Rfam family: tRNA
About the family: Transfer RNA (tRNA) molecules are approximately 80 nucleotides in length. Their secondary structure includes four short double-helical elements and three loops (D, anti-codon, and T loops). Further hydrogen bonds mediate the characteristic L-shaped molecular structure. tRNAs have two regions of fundamental functional importance: the anti-codon, which is responsible for specific mRNA codon recognition, and the 3' end, to which the tRNAs corresponding amino acid is attached (by aminoacyl-tRNA synthetases). tRNAs cope with the degeneracy of the genetic code in two manners: having more than one tRNA (with a specific anti-codon) for a particular amino acid; and 'wobble' base-pairing, i.e. permitting non-standard base-pairing at the 3rd anti-codon position.
Source: RNAcentral